Molecule: ribosomal RNA, 479 nt
Filed under: uncultured bacterium
Lineage: Bacteria
Description: partial 16S ribosomal RNA
Rfam family: Bacterial small subunit ribosomal RNA
Source: RNAcentral
GACGAACGCUGGCGGCGUGCUUAACACAUGCAAGUCGAACGGAAAGGCCUCUUCGGAGGUACUCGAGUGGCGAACGGGUGAGUAACACGUGGGUGAUCUGCCCUGCACUCUGGGAUAAGCCUGGGAAACUGGGUCUAAUACCGGAUAGGACCAUGCUUUAGUGUGUGUGGUGGAAAGUCUUUUCGGUGUAGGAUGAGCCCGCGGCCUAUCAGCUUGUUGGUGGGGUAAUGGCCUACCAAGGCGGCGACGGGUAGCCGGACUGAGAGGUUGGUCGGCCACAUUGGGACUGCGAUACGGCCCAGACUCCUACGGGAGGCAGCAGUGGGGAAUAUUGCACAAUGGGCGCAAGCAUGAUGCAGCGACGCCGCGUGGGGGAUGACGGCCUUCGGGUUGUAAACUCCUUUCGCCAGGGACGAAGCGUUUUGCGACGGUACCUGGAGAAGAAGCACCGGCUAACUACGUGCCAGCCGCCGCAGUAA